UAUUCGGCGUAAAGAGCUCGUAGGCGGUUCGUCGCGUCUGCUGUGAAAGCCCGGGGCUCAACUCCGGGUCUGCAGUGGGUACGGGCAGACUAGAGUGCAGUAGGGGAGACUGGAAUUCCUGGUGUAGCGGUGAAUGCGCAGAUAUCAGGAGGAACACCGAUGGCGAAGGCAGGUCUCUGGGCUGUUACUGACGCUGAGGAGCGAAAGCAUGGGGAGCGAACAGGAUUAGAUACCCUGGUAGUCCAUGCCGUAAACGUUGGGCACUAGGUGUGGGGGACAUUCCACGUUUUCCGCGCCGUAGCUAACGCAUUAAGUGCCCCGCCUGGGGAGUACGGCCGCAAGGCUAAAACUCAAAGGAAUUGACGGGGGCCCGCACAAGCGGCGGAGCAUGCGGAUUAAUUCGAUGCAACGCGAAGAACCUUACCAAGGCUUGACAUUCACCGGACCGCCCCAGAGAUGGGGUUUCCCUUCGGGGCUGGUGGACAGGUGGUGCAUGGUUGUCGUCAGCUCGUGUCGUGAGAUGUUGGGUUAAGUCCCGCAACGAGCGCAACCCUCGUUCUAUGUUGCCAGCACGUGAUGGUGGGGACUCAUAGGAGACUGCCGGGGUCAACUCGGAGGAAGGUGGGGAUGACGUCAAAUCAUCAUGCCCCUUAUGUCUUGGGCUUCACGCAUGCUACAAUGGCCGGUACAAAGGGUUGCGAUACUGUGAGGUGGAGCUAAUCCCAAAAAGCCGGUCUCAGUUCGGAUUGAGGUCUGCAACUCGACCUCAUGAAGUCGGAGUCGCUA
RNAcentral lists this ribosomal RNA (786 nucleotides) under Kocuria rosea subsp. polaris. Its description in RNAcentral is "bacterial SSU rRNA". It matches the Rfam family "Bacterial small subunit ribosomal RNA", at positions 552 to 1337 of the family's 1533-position model. Lineage: Bacteria; Bacillati; Actinomycetota; Actinomycetes; Micrococcales; Micrococcaceae. The record is from RNAcentral.